GUGGGGAAUCUUCCGCAAUGGACGAAAGUCUGACGGAGCAACGCCGCGUGAGUGAAGAAGGUUUUCGGAUCGUAAAGCUCUUUCGUUAGGGACGAACGUGCUCUUUGUGAAUAAUGAGGAGUAAUGACGGUACCUAAAUAAGAAGCCACGGCUAACUACGUGCCAGCAGCCGCGGUAAUACGUAGGUGGCAAGCGUUGUCCGGAAUUAUUGGGCGUAAAGCGCGCGCAGGCGGGAUAUCAAGUCUGUCUUAAAAGUGCGAGGCUCAACCUCGUGAGGGGACAGAAACUGGUAUUCUUGAGUGUCGGAGAGGAAAGUGGAAUUCCAAGUGUAGCGGUGAAAUGCGUAGAGAUUUGGAAGAACACCAGUGGCGAAGGCGACUUUCUGGACGAUGUCUGACGCUGAGGCACGAAAGCUAGGGGAGCGAACGGGAUUAGAAACCCUAGUAGUCC
RNAcentral lists this ribosomal RNA (450 nucleotides) under uncultured bacterium. Its description in RNAcentral is "partial 16S ribosomal RNA". It matches the Rfam family "Bacterial small subunit ribosomal RNA", at positions 354 to 796 of the family's 1533-position model. The record is from RNAcentral.